AUACGUAGGGGGCAAGCGUUAUCCGGAUUUACUGGGCGUAAAGGGAGCGUAGACGGUCUAGGCAAGUCUGGAUGAAGAACCCGGGGCUCAACCCCGGGACUGCAUUGGAAACUGCUUAGCUAGAGUGUCGGAGAGGUAAGUGGAAUUCCUAGUGUAGCGGUGAAAUGCGUAGAUAUUAGGAGGAACACCAGUGGCGAAGGCGACUUACUGGACGAUAACUGACGCUGAGGCUCGAAAGCGUGGGGAGC
Molecule: ribosomal RNA, 248 nt
Filed under: uncultured bacterium
Lineage: Bacteria
Description: partial 16S ribosomal RNA
Rfam family: Bacterial small subunit ribosomal RNA
Source: RNAcentral